UACGGAGGGGGCUAGCGUUGUUCGGAAUUACUGGCGUAAAAACGCACGUAGGCGGACCGGAAAGUCAGAGGUGAAAUCCCAGGGCUCAACCUUGGAACUGCCUUUGAAACUAUCGGUCUGGAGUUCGAGAGAGGUGAGUGGAAUUCCGAGUGUAGAGGUGAAAUUCGUAGAUAUUCGGAGGAACACCAGUGGCGAAGGCGGCUCACUGGCUCGAUACUGACGCUGAGGUGCGAAAGCGUGGGGAGCAAACAGGAUUAGAUACCCCGUGUC
RNAcentral lists this ribosomal RNA (270 nucleotides) under uncultured bacterium. RNAcentral describes it as "partial 16S ribosomal RNA". It matches the Rfam family "Bacterial small subunit ribosomal RNA", at positions 524 to 795 of the family's 1533-position model. The record is from RNAcentral.